RNAcentral lists this small RNA (174 nucleotides) under Arabidopsis thaliana (thale cress). Its description in RNAcentral is "ATSL102130". The record is from RNAcentral. Lineage: Eukaryota; Viridiplantae; Streptophyta; Magnoliopsida; Brassicales; Brassicaceae.
UAGUAAAGAAUUUACCAAGUGUCGUUAUAUCAACCGGUAAAGAUCUUAGGCAAAGUUUAGAGAUCGCCGGUUCGAGUGACGAUCAGAAUAAAACUAAUAUUACAUGUUGUGGUUUCAGACCUAUGAGAUUACGAGUUUUGUUCCAGAAUCUUCUGCUAUUCAAAAAAAACAUUA